Molecule: ribosomal RNA, 858 nt
Filed under: uncultured Actinomycetes bacterium
Lineage: Bacteria; Bacillati; Actinomycetota; Actinomycetes
Description: bacterial SSU rRNA
Rfam family: Bacterial small subunit ribosomal RNA
Source: RNAcentral
UACGCUUGUUGGUGAGUAAUGGCUCACCAAGGGCGACGACGGGUAGCCGGCCUGAGAGGGCGACCGGCCACACUGGGACUGAGACACGGCCCAGACUCCUACGGGAGGCAGCAGUGGGGAAUAUUGCACAAUGGGCGAAAGCCUGAUGCAGCGACGCCGCGUGAGGGAUGACGGCCUUCGGGUUGUAAACCUCUUUCAGCAGGGAAGAAGCGAAAGUGACGGUACCUGCAGAAGAAGCGCCGGCUAACUACGUGCCAGCAGCCGCGGUAAUACGUAGGGCGCAAGCGUUGUCCGGAAUUAUUGGGCGUAAAGAGCUCGUAGGCGGCUUGUCACGUCGAUUGUGAAAGCCCGAGGCUUAACCUCGGGUCUGCAGUCGAUACGGGCUAGCUAGAGUGUGGUAGGGGGAGAUCGGAAUUCCUGGGUGUAGCGGUGAAAUGCGCAGAUAUCAGGAGGAACACCGGUGGCGAAGGCGGAUCUCUGGGCCAUUACUGACGCUUGAAGAGCGAAAGCGUGGGGGAGCGAACAGGAUUAGAUACCCUGGUAGUCCACGCCGUUAAACGGUGGGGAACUAGGUGUUGGCGACAUUUCACGUCGUCGGUGCCGCAGCUAACGCAUUAAGUUCCCCCGCCUGGGGGAGUACGGGCCGCAAGGCUUAAACUCAAAGGAAUUGACGGGGGCCCGCACAAGCAGCGGAACAUGGGGCUUUAUUCGACGCCACCCGAAAAAACCUUACCAAGGCUUGGCAUACCCCGGAAAAGACCCGAAAAUGGGGGCCCCCCCUUGUGGUCGGGGUUACAAGGGGGGGCAUGGCUGUCCUCACCCUCUUGUCCUGAAAAAUUUUGGGUUUAAAUCCCCCCA